RNAcentral lists this long non-coding RNA (199 nucleotides) under Prunus persica (peach). Its description in RNAcentral is "long non-coding RNA (PPER_LNC003529)". The record is from RNAcentral. Lineage: Eukaryota; Viridiplantae; Streptophyta; Magnoliopsida; Rosales; Rosaceae.
CCAGUUCUCCCAACCGUCGAAAAGCACCUUGAGGGCGGUAACAGAAGCAGGCAGACCUUGGAAUCUGGCUUUCCACCAGGCGUCAAAGUCAGCAAAACUGCAGGAAUUCAGCUCCCACGAGGGAUAGAGGGCAUCCGUGCUGUUGUUGAUUUUGUUCACUGCACACCGGGCAUCCUUGUGCACCUCCAGAUCAUCUGCA